RNAcentral lists this small nucleolar RNA (50 nucleotides) under Pyrobaculum islandicum DSM 4184. RNAcentral's name for it is "PISsR50". The record is from RNAcentral. Lineage: Archaea; Thermoproteati; Thermoproteota; Thermoprotei; Thermoproteales; Thermoproteaceae.
GUGAUGAGCCAACCCCGGCACUGAGUUGUGAAGUAGUUUUAGAAUGCUGA